AUGGAGCCUUCAAGAAGGGACCGACGCAUGGACGCCGUCGCCAUCGGUCUGGCUCCGAGCCAGACGAGGUUUUCACCCCGGCCACCACCCUUAGCCUCCGUGCAAGGUAUGGCCCUACAUGAGAGUGCUGGCCGCACCACCACCGAGAUCGUCGAAGGCCCACCCCCAUGCCGCCCACGCGGCCAUGACAGCAAGCCCGUCAGCGCCCGAGCCACGAGCUCCGCCCACGAGCCAGCAGCUCCCACUACCAAGGCCGCCGCCUUGCAUCCAGACACUCCGGAGACCAUCCAAGGCACGAGCUUUGAGCCGACCGGCAAACCCCUAGCACCAUCGGAACCACCGAUGACCGACCCUGAUAAGGACAUCAAUACCAUUGUUACACCCACAGCCUCUGCUGCUAUACAUACUGGACCAAUUACUAGAGCUCGCGCACGCCAACUAAAUUACCAGGUACUUCCGUUUCUUGGUAAUGAUUCUAAUGUUCAUGAGAACAUGAUGCUGCCUAAAUUGGAUACAUUUGUUUUGCUUAAUAAUGAAGGGCCUAGCUUGGAGAAGGAUGAACAUUGGAGCAAGAGAAAGCAAGGAGAUGAUGGCAUGCGCAAGGGGAACAAGAACGGAGUUACGAGUGAUGAUUUCAGGUCUUUGAAGCCACCAUAA
RNAcentral lists this ribosomal RNA (657 nucleotides) under Triticum aestivum (bread wheat). Its description in RNAcentral is "partial small subunit ribosomal RNA". The record is from RNAcentral. Lineage: Eukaryota; Viridiplantae; Streptophyta; Magnoliopsida; Poales; Poaceae.